Poecilia latipinna (sailfin molly) is the source of this 3022-nucleotide long non-coding RNA. RefSeq lists it as uncharacterized. NCBI's taxonomy places the organism in Eukaryota, Metazoa, Chordata, Actinopteri, Cyprinodontiformes, Poeciliidae. The record is from RefSeq and is a predicted model, not a curated record. The transcript has 2 exons.
CGCUUUUCAGUGACAGUCCCUGUUAGCAUGGAUGGAUGUCUCCCUACGUUAUUUUUCCAUACUUCCUGUACCAGACUGAACUGAAACCUCUCCAUGUUUCCUCCUAUCUGCACACUCCCUGCUCUCCCUCCUUCAGCCUGCUGACAUCACGCCGCAUAUCAACUGUUUUCAUCAAGCUGUUGUUAUUUUCCUUUCCUCCUGCCAUGAGCUGGCCUUUCCACGGGGGCCACAGAUAUUUUCUCCUCCUCUUUUUUUUUUUUUCUUAAUAGCCUUCAGCUCCUGCAGCAGCAAAUCAAUGGAGCUCCAUUCUGCUGGCGUGGCUUGCAGAGCGAGCGUUCAGCUGCUGACAUCUGCCCCGCCGCGUAACCGAGUGGAUUGGGUUUUCAUCUGUACAUCGGCCACGUGUCACGAGAGGCGGGCGAGAUGAGACGUGGCCGCUUACUGCGGCUCGUGGCUAGUCGUCCAGACAGGAAGCCCAAGGUGCUGCUGACGGAGUCCAGGCGCUCGGCGUCCCGACAAAUAUUCCACCGCUCAAAGCGAGCAGAGAGAACACCGGCGCUGACGUGAGGCCGCUGAUGUCACGCUCUCUGCGUGACGGCAACAGCAGCAAUUGUUCCCCAGCUGUGAAUGUAAUCAUGUCCCCAACACACACACACACACACACAUGCACAAUCUGAUGUUUAGUUGAAGCCUGGAGAUAAUUCCAAAUAUAGCAUGGGGGUGAGGGGGAGUUGAGUGAAUCAUCAGGAGCUGCUAAGUGUGUGUGUGUGUGUGUGUGUGUGUGUGUGUGUGUGUGUGUGUGUGUGUGUUUGCCUUUUGCUGAGCUUAUAUUCAUCAGCUGUUCUCUUUGAAAUACACACACAAACAUUUUAGCAAAUAUCGGUUUCUGCAUUUUUUUUUCCCUGUUACAGUUGCCUGUGAAACUAUUCCUGCAUUUUGAAUGUUUUUUUAUACAUUAGGUGAACUAGGGUGAGAAUUUAUUGUAUCGUUUAUCAUUUAUUGUGAACAUUUCUUGUCAUGAUAAGAAUUUCGAGUUAUCGCUGUCUUGAUAAAUUUCAAUUCUAAACUAAACUAAACUAACAUUGGAAAUAUUUGUAGUAUUUUGUAAGCUGUUCCACAAAAUAAAUUAACAGCGUUAGCUUCUGGGCUAACACGGAAGUUAACAGCAUUAGUUUCUGGGCUAACACAGAAGUUAACAGCAUUAGCUUCUGGGCUAACACGGAAGUUAACAGCAUUAGCUUCUGGGCUAACACGGAAGUUAACAGCAUUAGCUUCUGGGCUAACAUGGAAGUUAACAGCGUUAGCUUCUGGCCAGGUAUCGCCUCUGGAAGCCCACAGACAAGAUGCUCCAAAAUAUGUAAAGAAACUUGUAGAAUAUUUUUCUCACUUUCAUUCUCUAUUCAAUACUUAUUUCAUUUAUUUAUCAUACAUGGUGCCCCAUGCAUGCCAAUUUUAGUUAGCUAUGCUAUGCCAGCUUGAGAUCAAAGCGUUGAUAAAUCUGACUUGCAGCCAGUCAGAAAGAUGAGCAUGGCAAAUAGCAUUUCUAUAAAGUAUUUUAACUUAUGCUGUAUGAUAAUGGUUGAGAAACAAAUUAGAUUUUAUGAUUUUUUUAAAAAUGAUUAAAAAAAUAUAUUAGAAUUAAUUAUUUUUGUUGCAUUUUCUCCCCCUUAUCUUCCCUCCCCUUUUCUUUUUUGCUUGAUCUGCUCCUUUAAACUCUGAAGAAAGGCUCACAGUGUAUGUCACAUUGUGAAGGUUAAACCCGCUCCGGCCACAGACACGUCCAGCCUCAUGAAAGAACAUCAUGUACUGAAGCCUGUACGCGUGAGCAGCCAUUAGCGUCCACCGCUGUGGAGCAGCUGGAAUAAAUGCACAGGAGAAUUGCAUUCAGAGUCAGAGGACUUCAGAACAGCAGUUUAGCCUGAAGGUUAUCUUAAGAGACUCUGGGGCGGAAAAAAGGAAAAAAGAAAGGAGAUUCACAUUGGCAGGCUCCCCGGAGACAGACCUUAAACCUUGAGAAAGCCUGACGAGCUACAUGAAAAGGCAGUGACUCAUCUAAUCUUGUUUUAUCGCCGUGCCAAUCUGUAUUCAUGCAGACAACUCAUCCCAGUAAGUCUGCAUGUUCGCCCCCCUGCUCUGCUCACAGAGCUCACGUUGUUGCUGCUGCAGAGGCUUCCUCUCAGGUUCGGUAAAUGUUCUGUUUUCCAUUUUGCCGACAAGCUUAUCGAGGAUUCAUCAGGUAUAGCUCUGGAGGGUUCACGACCUCACAUUGGGGAAGGUGGGGGGGAAGGAUGAAGGGGUUGGGAGGAGGAGUGUUGUGGCAUCAGCUCAGAUGGUGUCUGACAGCCGACUUUACAGAACAAAGCCUUCCUUUAUCUCCUGCCUUUUUACGCAAAUAUCUUCAUCACAUUACAUCAAGAGUGGAAUGUUCCAGUGCUGGGUUUCCUUUACCUCUGCAGAAAAGAAAAGAUCUUAAUUCCCUGCAGGCCUGGAUCAACCUAAGGAGGGGAUGAACCUAGUUUAUUCUGUUUGGUAAAAUAAACUACAAUAUUUACAGUAUGAACUACAGAUGUUUGUUUUAGAAGCAGUAGGACUUUCAGGUUAUUAGGCAAUAAUCCGAUUCCAACCUUGGCCGUGUAACAAUGGCGUCUUUAUUAUUUUUUAUUCUUUAUAUAUUGCUUAUAUUCUGAUUAUUGUUGCCUUUGGACAACCUGGACAGUAAGUCAAUAACAAUAUAUAAUGUGAUAGGCACGUGAUCAGUAUCAAUGAAUAGCACGUCUAGAAUGUUCUGUAAUUUCACUGAACCACAUUGCAUUCUGGGAGAUGUAGGCAGAAGAAACGCUCUGGCUGCUCAACCGCUCACGGCUAGCUAAGCAAGGUUGGUGGCAUCAACUAACUCACUUACUCUUUGGUUACCUAGCAACUCGCUCUCUCUUUGGUUACCCAGCAACAACCCGUUGAGUAACCUGUGCAGCAGCAGUUUCAGGUUUUGCCGCAUCCUGCCUCAGAAGUGCUUAAAAAUUAA